GAUAGCUAGCAAUCCCAUAAACCGUGGCUCAGUUCAGAUCGUAGGCUGCAACUCGCCUACGUGAAGUAGGAAUCGCUAGUAAUCGCAGGUCAGCAUACUGCGGUGAAUACGUUCCCGGGCCUUGUACACACCGCCCGUCACACCAUGGAAGUUGGCCAUGCCCGAAGUCGUUACUCCAACCCUUGUGGAGGAGGACGCCGAAGGUGGGGCUAAUGACUGGGGUGAAGUCGUAACAAGGUAGCCGUACCGGAAGGUGCGGCUGGAUCACCUCCUAA
This 275-nucleotide ribosomal RNA is filed under the name uncultured Prochlorococcus sp. RNAcentral's name for it is "partial 16S ribosomal RNA". It matches the Rfam family "Bacterial small subunit ribosomal RNA", at positions 1259 to 1533 of the family's 1533-position model. Lineage: Bacteria; Bacillati; Cyanobacteriota; Cyanophyceae; Synechococcales; Prochlorococcaceae. The record is from RNAcentral.